Molecule: ribosomal RNA, 945 nt
Filed under: Schizopora paradoxa
Lineage: Eukaryota; Fungi; Basidiomycota; Agaricomycetes; Hymenochaetales; Schizoporaceae
Description: LSU rRNA
Rfam family: Eukaryotic large subunit ribosomal RNA
Source: RNAcentral
GCAUAUCAAUAAGCGGAGGGAAAAAGAAACUAACAAGGAUUCCCCCUAGUAACUGCGAGUGAAGCGGGAAAAGCUCAAAUUUAAAAUCUGGCAGUUUCACUGUCCGAGUUGUAAUCUGGAGAAGCAUUUUCCGCGUCGGACCGUGUACAAGUCUCUUGGAAUAGAGCGUCAUAGAGGGUGAGAAUCCCGUCCAUGACACGGACCACCGAUGCUUUGUGAUAUGCUCUCGAAGAGUCGAGUUGUUUGGGAAUGCAGCUCAAAAUGGGUGGUAGAUUCCAUCUAAAGCUAAAUAUUGGCGAGAGACCGAUAGCGAACAAGUACCGUGAGGGAAAGAUGAAAAGCACUUUGGAAAGAGAGUUAAACAGUACGUGAAAUUGUUGAAAGGGAAACGCUUGAAGUCAGUCGCGUUGUCUGAGACUCAGCCUUGCUUUGCUUGGUGUACUUCUUAGUUAACGGGUCAACAUCAAUUUUGGUUGGUGGAUAAAGGCUUAGGGAAUGUGGCACCUUCGGGUGUGUUAUAGACCUUUGCUGCAUACACUGACUGGGAUUGAGGAUCGCAGCACGCCAUUAUGGCCGGGGGUUCGCCUCACGUAACGUGCUUAGGAUGUUGGCAUAAUGGCUUUAAGCGACCCGUCUUGAAACACGGACCAAGGAGUCUAACAUGCUUGCGAGUGUUAGGGUGGAAAACCCUUGCGCGUAAUGAAAGUGAAAGUUGGGACCCUUCUGGGGGCACCGACGCCCGGCCUUGAAAUUUAUUGACGGUGCCGCGGUAGAGCACGUAUGUUGGGACCCGAAAGAUGGUGAACUAUGCCUGAAUAGGGUGAAGCCAGGGGAAACUCUGGUGGAGGCUCGUAGCGAUUCUGACGUGCUAAAUCGAUCGUCGAAUUUGGGUAUAGGGGGCGAAAGACUAAUCGAACCAUCUAGUAGCUGGGUUCCUGCCGAAGU